AAAUGCUUUCUUAAAUGGAAAAAGGCACAGAAAAGCCUCGCCCUCUAGUGGCUGGAAAACUAGGAAGCAGGCAUAAAUCCUAUUUCCACUACUCUGUAUCCAGUGCAGAUCUGCUUGUAGCUUGAAUAGAUUAGUUAGUUUGAAUAACUGAAGCUUUCCUUAGUUUCAGAUCUGGAAGAAGAAAGACAACCACUAAGUCAUUUAAUAUUUGAAUUCAUUUUUCAUUGGAAGAAAAAGAGUGUUGAUAAAGAACUUGAAAGUAAAUGGAAAUGAGCUUUUAGAACAAGCUGGAGAUGGUUGCAUUAGCAGCCAUUUGAAUAAUAGGAACAGCUAUAUCUGGAUAUCUUGAGAAGAUAGAUAUUACCAGCAAAUGAAUUGGGUGAAAUUUUAAGAAGGAAGAAUUUUACCCAAUAUCAUAUACAGCACGUUUGUAUGUUGAAAACUACAUUGUAUUCCACUGGAAGAAGAGACAGCUACUGGAAUUCCAAUUCCAACAGAUUUCUCCAUGAAGAGAAAAUGAGACAGGGAGAGGGACAUGGAAAGAGACAAUGUGAGGACAUUUAA
Molecule: long non-coding RNA, 564 nt
Filed under: Anas platyrhynchos platyrhynchos (common mallard)
Lineage: Eukaryota; Metazoa; Chordata; Aves; Anseriformes; Anatidae
Description: lncRNA (ENSAPLG00000023052.1)
Source: RNAcentral